GGAUCAUUGUCGAAACCUGGAAAGGCAAAACGACCCGCGAAUAUGUGGCAAAUAACGUGGGCGGCAGGCCUCCGGGCUCGUCGCCCAAAGUCCCCGGCCAGGGUUGUGGGGCAACCCCAACUCCUCUGUCGCGGCACGAACAACAAACCCCGGCGCAAAUCGCGCCAAGGAAUCGAAAGAAAGAGAUGCGCACUCCUCGUUAUGUCCCAAAGAUGGUGCCUUGGAGGUGUUGCGUCGUCGUCGUUAUCACAUAUCUAAAACGACUCUCGGCAACGGAUAUCUCGGCUCUCGCAUCGAUGAAGAACGUAGCGAAAUGCGAUACUUGGUGUGAAUUGCAGAAUCCCGUGAACCAUCGAGUUUUUGAACGCAAGUUGCGCCCGAAGCCGUCAGGCCGAGGGCACGCUUGCCUGGGUGUCACGCAACGUCGCUAAGCAUUCUCCGUCACCCUUUAUCGGGAACGAUGAUGAGGAUUGGCGGAUAUUGGCCUCCCGUUGGCACUCGCACGCGGUUGGCCCAAAGGAAAGCCCCGGGCGCGGCAGCCACGGCACGCGGUGGUUGGCAGCAUGCGCUCCAGGAACACCGUCGUGGGCAAGCCGCGUAGACGGGGCGGUGUAGACCCCCGACGCAGAGCGUCUUCGCAACGCGACCCC
Molecule: ribosomal RNA, 650 nt
Filed under: Denhamia pittosporoides
Lineage: Eukaryota; Viridiplantae; Streptophyta; Magnoliopsida; Celastrales; Celastraceae
Description: eukaryotic LSU rRNA
Rfam family: 5.8S ribosomal RNA (bases 262-417)
Source: RNAcentral